AUUGAACGCUGGCGGCAGGCCUAACACAUGCAAGUCGAGCGAGCGGCGGACGGGUGAGUAAUGUAUGGGGACUGCCCGAUGGAGGGGGAUAACUACUGGAAACGGUAGCUAAUACCGCAUACUAUCGGAUAACCCAUAUGGGAUUAGCUAGUAGGUGAGGUAAUGGCUCACCUAGGCGACGAUCCCUAGCUGGUAUGAGAGGAUGGUCAGCCACACUGGGACUGAGACACGGCCCAGACUCCUACGGAGGCAGCAGUGGGGAAUAUUGCACAAGGGGCGCAAGCCUGAUGCAGCCAUGCCGCGUGUAUGAAGAAGGCCUUAGGGUUGUAAAGUACUUGCAGUCGGGAGGCGUUACCGACAGAAGAAGCACCGGCUAACUCCGUGCCAGCCGCCGCGGUAAUAC
RNAcentral lists this ribosomal RNA (403 nucleotides) under uncultured bacterium. RNAcentral's name for it is "partial 16S ribosomal RNA". It matches the Rfam family "Bacterial small subunit ribosomal RNA", at positions 30 to 526 of the family's 1533-position model. The record is from RNAcentral.